UCUCGGAUCGUCUAACGGCAGGACGCUAUCCUUUGAAGGUAGAAAUGUAGGUUCGAUCCCCACUCCGAGAUC
This 72-nucleotide transfer RNA is filed under the name uncultured marine phage. Its description in RNAcentral is "tRNA-Gln". It matches the Rfam family "tRNA". From Rfam's summary of the family: Transfer RNA (tRNA) molecules are approximately 80 nucleotides in length. Their secondary structure includes four short double-helical elements and three loops (D, anti-codon, and T loops). Further hydrogen bonds mediate the characteristic L-shaped molecular structure. tRNAs have two regions of fundamental functional importance: the anti-codon, which is responsible for specific mRNA codon recognition, and the 3' end, to which the tRNAs corresponding amino acid is attached (by aminoacyl-tRNA synthetases). tRNAs cope with the degeneracy of the genetic code in two manners: having more than one tRNA (with a specific anti-codon) for a particular amino acid; and 'wobble' base-pairing, i.e. permitting non-standard base-pairing at the 3rd anti-codon position. The record is from RNAcentral.